Molecule: long non-coding RNA, 643 nt
Organism: Oncorhynchus tshawytscha (Chinook salmon)
Lineage: Eukaryota; Metazoa; Chordata; Actinopteri; Salmoniformes; Salmonidae
Source: Ensembl
GCUAGAGGCUAGGGUCUGGAACCUAGAAGCUAGAGGCUAGUGUCUGGAGACUAGAGGCUAGCUUCUUCUUCUUCUUCUUCUUCUUCUUCUUCUUCUAUUGGAGGCUGUCAGGUCCAGAUGGAUGGAGGCUUUAUUAGGUGGCUAGAGGCUACGGUCUGGAGCAUUUGGUCUGGGGGCUAGAGGCUAGGGUCUGGAGUCUAGAGGCUAGGGUCUGGAGCAUUUGGUCUGGGGGCUAGAGGCUAGGGUCUGGAGACUAAAGGCUAGAGGCUAGGGUCUGGAGUCUAGAGGCUAGGGUCUGGAGUCUAGAGGCUAAGGUCUGGAGCAUUUGGUCUGGGGGCUAGAGCCUGGGGUCUGGAGCCUUUGGUCUGGAGGCUGUUUGGAGGCAGUGGUCUGGGAGCCGGGGUAUGAAGCAGUGUGACCCAUUAUGUUUAAUGAUUAUGUUUAAUGAUGGCUGUUCGGAGCACAGUGGGCCCCUCGUCCUCCACUCUGGAUGUGUUUAUUUAUGUCCUAUCGACCCACGACCCACGGUCACAUCGACCCAUGGCAAACAGAGAUCCUAUCGGCCAACAGAGAUCUUAUUGACCCAUGGCCAACAGAGAUCCUAUCGACCAACAGAGAUCUUAUUGACCCACGGCCAAUAGAG